GAUGAACGCUGGCGGCGUGCCUAAUACAUGCAAGUCGAGCGAACGGACGAGAAGCUUGCUUUUCUGAUGUUAGCGGCGGACGGGUGAGUAACACGUGGAUAACCUACCUAUAAGACUGGGAUAACUUCGGGAAACCGGAGCUAAUACCGGAUAAUAUUUUGAACCGCAUGGUUCAAAAGUGAAAGACGGUCUUGCUGUCACUUAUAGAUGGAUCCGCGCUGCAUUAGCUAGUUGGUAAGGUAACGGCUUACCAAGGCAACGAUGCAUAGCCGACCUGAGAGGGGGAUCGGCCACACUGGAACUGAGACACGGUCCAGACUCCUAGGGGAGGCAGCAGUAGGGAAUCUUCCGCAAGGGGCGAAAGCCUGACGGAGAAACGGCGCGGGAGUGAUGAAGGUCUUCGGAUCGUAAAACUCUUUUAUUAGGGAAGAACAUUUGGGUAAGUAACGGUGCACCUCUUGACGGUACCUAAAAAGAAAGCCACGGCUAACUACGG
Molecule: ribosomal RNA, 496 nt
Filed under: uncultured bacterium
Lineage: Bacteria
Description: partial 16S ribosomal RNA
Rfam family: Bacterial small subunit ribosomal RNA
Source: RNAcentral